GCCCGUUUGGCUCAGUGGAUAGAGCGUCAGCCUGCGACUGAAGGGUCCCCAGGUUCAAUUCCUGUCAAGGGCA
This 73-nucleotide transfer RNA is filed under the name Myotis brandtii (Brandt's bat). It matches the Rfam family "tRNA". From Rfam's summary of the family: Transfer RNA (tRNA) molecules are approximately 80 nucleotides in length. Their secondary structure includes four short double-helical elements and three loops (D, anti-codon, and T loops). Further hydrogen bonds mediate the characteristic L-shaped molecular structure. tRNAs have two regions of fundamental functional importance: the anti-codon, which is responsible for specific mRNA codon recognition, and the 3' end, to which the tRNAs corresponding amino acid is attached (by aminoacyl-tRNA synthetases). tRNAs cope with the degeneracy of the genetic code in two manners: having more than one tRNA (with a specific anti-codon) for a particular amino acid; and 'wobble' base-pairing, i.e. permitting non-standard base-pairing at the 3rd anti-codon position. The record is from Rfam by way of RNAcentral. Lineage: Eukaryota; Metazoa; Chordata; Mammalia; Chiroptera; Vespertilionidae.